GCUAAACUCCAAGUUAGCUGGCUGCAAAGGCCCAGGGGUUGAUAGUUGAAUCUCCCUUUUCUGGUAUCUUUGGGGAGGGUGCUGUUACAAAUGUAAUUCUUUGUCAGUUCUUGCCCCAAAACUGUGCUUUUGCCCAUUAACUGUCCCCUCUAACCAUCUGUUCUUUCAGUCAACAAAGAUUUAAGCACCUUUGGGUGCCAGAGACAACCUAGUAGGUAAGCAGUGAACAAGACAAACAAUUUUUAUUUAUAAACUAAAUUCUACCAGAGAAAAAUUAACUAGGAAAUAUAUAAAGUGACAUUGACUAAGUUUCAUGAAGAAAGUAGGGUGCUAUGCUAAUUAAUAAUGGGGCAAGUUAAGCACCUUAGGUGGGGUGGUUGGGAAGGCCUCCCCGAAAAGAGAAGACGUUAAACUUUUAAUUAUAGUAACAAGAGAGAACAGGAUAGUAAUCCCCCAUGAGCUCAUCAUGCAGUUUUAGCAAAUCCAGCUUCAUGAACUCAUGGUCAACCUUAUUUCAUUUAUAUCUGCACGAGAUUAUCUAGAAUUCCAAAUAUUGUUCUUUUCAUCCAUAAAAGUAUUUCAUAAUGUAUCGCCAAAACACACUUACAGAAAUCAAGAAUUAUUCCUUAAUACCUUCAAAUAUCUAAUUAAUGCUCAAAUUUUUUAUUGUUUUAUAAAUUUAUGUUGUAGUUUGUUUGAAUCAAGAUCCAAGCAGGGCUUAAUGUAUUUGGAAUUAGAUAAUAUAUCUCUACAAUAUCUUCUAAUCUACAGGUGUGCUUUCUCUCUCUUCCUGUGGCCCUCCUCCCUCCCUUCCCACUUCUCCCCUAUUUUCAUUGCAGUUUGUUGUACCUGAAUUGUUUGUC
RNAcentral lists this long non-coding RNA (863 nucleotides) under Marmota monax (woodchuck). Lineage: Eukaryota; Metazoa; Chordata; Mammalia; Rodentia; Sciuridae. The record is from RNAcentral.